UUCUAUUAGAACUAAUUAAUAGUCCCCUCUCCUCCCUGAAUAUUAAAUACCCCCCAUAGUGCUUAGGUAGCAAAAUCCUUAGUCUUUUAAAUAAACACCAGUCCCAAAGAUUUAACAUUUUAAUUAAUUUAUUCUAAUUAAUUUAUUUAAUUUAUCCUAAAUGUAAAAAGACAUUUAUUCUAAAGAUAGACGAUAAGACCCUAUUGAACUUAACUUAAGUUUAACUGGGGCAGUUAAUUAAAAAUUAUUUUAAUUAAAAUAAAACAAAAAUUGACCCAAUAAAAUUGAUUAAAUAAUCAAGUUACCAUAGGGAUAACAGCACAAUAUAAUACCAAAGAUCUUAUAAAAAAUUCCAUUUGUGACCUCGAUGUUGAAUAAUAUUCUAUAUUACGCAAUAGUUAUACUAGAUAGGCUGUUCGACUAUUAAACAAUUACA
This 436-nucleotide ribosomal RNA is filed under the name Neozimiris pubescens. RNAcentral's name for it is "partial 16S ribosomal RNA". Lineage: Eukaryota; Metazoa; Arthropoda; Arachnida; Araneae; Prodidomidae. The record is from RNAcentral.